RNAcentral lists this ribosomal RNA (1059 nucleotides) under Pelagia noctiluca. Its description in RNAcentral is "eukaryotic LSU rRNA". It matches the Rfam family "Eukaryotic large subunit ribosomal RNA", at positions 43 to 904 of the family's 3401-position model. Lineage: Eukaryota; Metazoa; Cnidaria; Scyphozoa; Semaeostomeae; Pelagiidae. The record is from RNAcentral.
UUAACAGCGGAGGAAAAGAAAUUUAACAAAGGGAUUCCCCUCAAGUAAACGGCGAGUGAAGUGGGAACAGCUCAAGCUUGAAAUCUCUGUUGCUUGCAACAGCGAAUUGUAGUCUCGAGAAGCGUUUUCCCGGUGGACCUUACCUGUCAAAGUUGCUUGGAAGAGCACAUCGGAGAGGGUGACAGUCCCGUUCGUGACAGGUCAGGCUGCCAACGAUACGCUUUCCAUGAGUCGGGUUGCUUGGGAAUGCAGCCCAAAAUUGGUGGUAAACUCCAUCUAAAGCUAAAUAUUGGCACGAGACCGAUAGCGAACAAGUACCGUGAGGGAAAGAUGAAAAGAACUUUGAAAAGAGAGUUAAAAAGUGCGUGAAACCGUUAGUGGGGAAACGGAUGCAGUUAGCAAUGCUUCGGCGAGAUUCAGGCGGUCACCUGGCUGGACGGGCAGUGUGUGGAUCCGAAUGGACUGUCGCUGCUUGGCUUGGUCUUGUGCUCGUCGCACUUCUCGUCGGAGCGCGUCAACAGCUGCUUGACUUGAGCGAUACGGUGCUCGGGAAGGUAGGCGUGUGUCUUCGGACUUGCGUUGUUAUAGCCCGUGGCAUUCCCAGUUCGAGUUUGGCAGAGGCGAACGGUGCAUGCUCUCUAGGGGGCUGGCGUCCUUCUCUUGAUCGAUUGUCGAGCAUGGCGGACUGCUUGCAGUGCGUCUGAACUGCUGUUGGUCAUUCGGGAGGAUCGCGCACACUAUGCACCUAGGUUGUUGGCGGCCAUAUGGCUUCAUCUGACCCGUCUUGAAACACGGACCAAGGAGUCUAACAUGUGCGCAAGUCUUGGGGUGACCGAAACCCAAAGGCGCAAUGAAAGUAAAGGCUGCCUGGCAGCCGAGGUGAGAUCUUCGUUCCGCGUGUCCGAAGCGCAUCAUCGACCGACCUAUUCUACUCCUAGAAAGGUUUGAGUAAGAGCGCAUCUGUUGGGACCCGAAAGAUGGUGAACUAUGCCUGAGUAGGGUGAAGCCAGAGGAAACUCUGGUGGAAGCUCGUACCGAUUCUGACGUGCAAAUCGAUCG